RNAcentral lists this ribosomal RNA (447 nucleotides) under uncultured bacterium. Its description in RNAcentral is "partial 16S ribosomal RNA". It matches the Rfam family "Bacterial small subunit ribosomal RNA", at positions 29 to 523 of the family's 1533-position model. The record is from RNAcentral.
AGCGAACGCUGGCGGCAGGCUUAACACAUGCAAGUCGAGCGCCCCGCAAGGGGAGCGGCAGACGGGUGAGUAACACGUGGGAACGUGCCCUUUGGUCCGGAACAACCCAGGGAAACUUGGGCUAAUACCGGAUACGUCCGUAAGGAGAAAGAUUUAUCGCCAAAGGAUCGGCCCGCGUCUGAUUAGCUAGUUGGUGGGGUAACGGCCCACCAAGGCUACGAUCAGUAGCUGGUCUGAGAGGAUGAUCAGCCACAUUGGGACUGAGACACGGCCCAAACUCCUACGGGAGGCAGCAGUGGGGAAUAUUGGACAAUGGGGGCAACCCUGAUCCAGCCAUGCCGCGUGAGUGAUGAAGGCCUUAGGGUUGUAAAGCUCUUUUAGCGGGGAAGAUAAUGACGGUACCCGCAGAAAAAGCCCCGGCUAACUUCGUGCCAGCCGCCGCCGUAA